CCUAAAAAAACAAGAUAUUAAAACAAGCAAAGAAAAGAAAAUAAUAAGAAAAGAGAGAUAGGGGGUAUGAGGCAGAAAUAGGGUGUAAAGAGAAAUGGUGUUGUGCCCAUCUGAAAACUCGUGUUGGUCUUUCCCUAAUGUCAUAAUCAGGUUGGGGGUAUGACACAGAAUACAGGGUGCACACAGAGCAAUUAUAUGGGCCAAGAGUGCCCCAAGUCCAAUUUUCCUUGCGUAAAUUGAGGGGGGGUGUUAAGUGAACUUGGGUGCAGAAAGAAACCUACAUGGGCCAAGGGCCAUGAGGCCCACGCUAAAAACACAUGAGAGGGGGAUGCGCUCAGAUCCAAACACACUACACGUUCAGAUGAACUUCAUCUCCUUUCACCUUGGCCGAAAAAUAUAAUCUCCGCCACGCUGGAAAUCGCCUCCGGGGACGGAGGGCCAAACCCUUCGAAUCUUAUACCAACUUCUUCGUCUCAUCACCCUCUACCCUAAUCCAGUAUUGACUUCUUUUGAUUCAUACCAUAACAACCAAACCGAACCAAAAAUAUUCAAGAACUCUAACUCCUAAUUCAAAAAUUAAAUACCACUGAGGCACUAUUUGGAGCUCAAACCAUAUGGGUUUGACUCCCUACGCAAUGAGAUACAUUGUUGUAACCUUGAUUCAAUGAAAACGAGUGGAAGACGAGAACCCUACCUUCGAGGAUGAACUUUCCCUCUACACAGUUGGAGUUCAUGGAGAAUGAAGAUGAAGACGAUAAAACUCUCUUAGGGCUGGUUUUAGAGGAAGACAAACAAACAUUUGGCAAGUCAUUUUGAGCAACAUCAAGACCUAUGAAGAAGGCCUUGAACACAUCAAGAUUUAUGCAGGAUUUGAGGGCUUUAGAGGGAUACUUGUAAAUGAAGAAAAAUGGAAUGUAAUUAGGGUUAAGACUUAGUGGUUAGGAAGUUGACUUUGGUCAACUAGUUGACCAAAAAGUUAACAGUUGAUCAAAGUCAACUAUAGGUCAACAAAUGCAUUUUUGUAGGUUUUGACUUUUGUAAAGAUUUGUGGUGUAUUUCUAAAUGGAUGUUGUAUGGUUUGUUUUGUAAUGAAGAUGACUUGAAUGAAUGUAACUUGUUUUCCAAGUAA
This is a long non-coding RNA of Lathyrus oleraceus (garden pea), 1129 nucleotides long. RefSeq lists it as uncharacterized. The transcript has 2 exons. NCBI's taxonomy places the organism in Eukaryota, Viridiplantae, Streptophyta, Magnoliopsida, Fabales, Fabaceae. The record is from RefSeq and is a predicted model, not a curated record.